GACGUAGGGUGCGAGCGUUGUCCGGAAUUAUUGGGCGUAAAGAGCUCGUAGGCGGUGUGUCGCGUCGGUCGUGAAAACUUGGGGCUUAACCCUGAGCUUGCGGUCGAUACGGGCAUCACUGGAGUUCGGCAGGGGAGACUGGAAUUCCUGGUGUAGCGGUGAAAUGCGCAGAUAUCAGGAGGAACACCGGUGGCGAAGGCGGGUCUCUGGGCCGAUACUGACGCUGAGGAGCGAAAGCGUGGGGAGCGAACAGG
Molecule: ribosomal RNA, 254 nt
Filed under: uncultured bacterium
Lineage: Bacteria
Description: partial 16S ribosomal RNA
Rfam family: Bacterial small subunit ribosomal RNA
Source: RNAcentral